This 432-nucleotide ribosomal RNA is filed under the name Escherichia coli. RNAcentral describes it as "bacterial SSU rRNA". It matches the Rfam family "Bacterial small subunit ribosomal RNA", at positions 292 to 716 of the family's 1533-position model. The record is from RNAcentral. Lineage: Bacteria; Pseudomonadati; Pseudomonadota; Gammaproteobacteria; Enterobacterales; Enterobacteriaceae.
CUGAGAGGAUGACCAGCCACACUGGAACUGAGACACGGUCCAGACUCCUACGGGAGGCAGCAGUGGGGAAUAUUGCACAAUGGGCGCAAGCCUGAUGCAGCCAUGCCGCGUGUAUGAAGAAGGCCUUCGGGUUGUAAAGUACUUUCAGCGGGGAGGAAGGGAGUAAAGUUAAUACCUUUGCUCAUUGACGUUACCCGCAGAAGAAGCACCGGCUAACUCCGUGCCAGCAGCCGCGGUAAUACGGAGGGUGCAAGCGUUAAUCGGAAUUACUGGGCGUAAAGCGCACGCAGGCGGUUUGUUAAGUCAGAUGUGAAAUCCCCGGGCUCAACCUGGGAACUGCAUCUGAUACUGGCAAGCUUGAGUCUCGUAGAGGGGGGUAGAAUUCCAGGUGUAGCGGUGAAAUGCGUAGAGAUCUGGAGGAAUACCGGUGGC